This is a long non-coding RNA of Phascolarctos cinereus (koala), 443 nucleotides long. RefSeq lists it as uncharacterized. The record is from RefSeq and is a predicted model, not a curated record. Lineage: Eukaryota; Metazoa; Chordata; Mammalia; Diprotodontia; Phascolarctidae.
CAAAUCCUGCCUUCUUUCAACCAUACUACACUGUCUCUCAAUUUCAGCAUUAACGUUGUUCCACUGCCAUCUGGGCAUCAUUUUGGACAUGGCAACUACCAGUACUACCAAUCAGGUAACAUUUGGAUCUUAACAGAAGCUUUCACUGAUUGACAGAGUCAAUGCACAGAAAUAAUUUCAGGAAGUACAGCCUUUUUCUGGUGUCCCUCGAAUGACAUCACCUACACAGAAGCUGGGAGGCAAGAGCGAGGGCUUCCAAGACAUUUAAAAAGGUACUGUGCUGACUGCCGGAGAUAGGUAUUUAUACAAGCAAAAAGAAAGAGUCCCUGCCUGCAAGAAGCUGACAUUCUAAUGGGGAAAGACAACCAUGGAAAUGCCGGAACCAGUUCCAAUGGACUCAGGAGAGCUGAUUGUUAAGUUUUCAGAGUGAGAAUUCACUCCUC